RNAcentral lists this ribosomal RNA (497 nucleotides) under uncultured bacterium. RNAcentral's name for it is "partial 16S ribosomal RNA". It matches the Rfam family "Bacterial small subunit ribosomal RNA", at positions 28 to 507 of the family's 1533-position model. The record is from RNAcentral.
GAUGAACGCUGGCGGCGUGCCUAAUACAUGCAAGUCGAGCGAACAGACGAGGAGCUUGCUCCUCUGACGUUAGCGGCGGACGGGUGAGUAACACGUGGAUAACCUACCUAUAAGACUGGGAUAACUUCGGGAAACCGGAGCUAAUACCGGAUAAUACAUUGAACCGCAUGGUUCAAUAGUGAAAGACGGUUUUGCUGUCACUUAUAGAUGGAUCCGCGCCGCAUUAGCUAGUUGGUAAGGUAACGGCUUACCAAGGCAACGAUGCGUAGCCGACCUGAGAGGGUGAUCGGCCACACUGGAACUGAGACACGGUCCAGACUCCUACGGGAGGCAGCAGUAGGGAAUCUUCCGCAAUGGGCGAAAGCUUGACGGAGCAACGCCGCGUGAGUGAUGACGGUCUUCGGAUCGUAAAACUCUGUUAUUAGGGAAGAACAAAUGUGUAAGUAACUAUGCACGUCUUGACGGUACCUAAUCAGAAAGCCACGGCUAACUACGUG